AGGGCGCGUAGGCGGUUUUUUAAGUCAAAUUGUGAAAUCCAGGGCUUAACUCUGGGACUGCGUUUGAAACUGAAAGACUAGAGAUCAGGAGAGGGAAAGUGGAAUCCUAGUGUAGCGGUGAAAUGCGUAGAUAUUAGGAAGAACAUCGAUGGCGAAAGGCAGCUUUCUGGCCUGACACUGACGCUGAGGCGCGAAAGCGUGGGGAGCAUACAGGAUUAGAUACCCUGGUAGUCCACGCCGUAAACGAUGGAUACUAGGUGUAGGGGGUUCGAUUCCCUCUAUGCCGCAGUUAACGCAAUAAGUAUCCCGCCUGGGGAGUACGGUCGCAAGAUUGAAACUCAAAGGAAUUGACGGGGGCCCGCACAAGCGGUGGAGUAUGUGGUUUAAUUCGAUGCAACGCGAAGAACCUUACCAAGGCUUGACAUCCCGUGACGGCCUGUGAAAGCAGGAGUUCCCUUCGGGGACACGGAGACAGGUGGUGCAUGGUUGUCGUCAGCUCGUGUCGUGAGAUGUUGGGUUAAGUCCCGCAACGAGCGCAACCCCUGUCCUUAGUUACCAGCAGUAAGAUGGGGACUCUAAGGAGACUGCCAGUGACAAACUGGAGGAAGGUGGGGAUGACGUCAAAUCAUCAUGCCCUUUAUGCCUUGGGCUACACACGUACUACAAUGGGCUGUACAGAGGGCGGCAAGACUGUGAAGUCAAGCGAAUCCCUUAAAGCAGUCCUCAGUUCGGAUUGUAGGCUGCAACUCGCCUACAUGAAGCUGGAAUCGCUAGUAAUCGCUGGUCAGCAUACAGCGGUGAAUACGUUCCCGGGCCUUGUACACACCGCCCGUCACACCACCCGAGUCUGAUGCACCAGAAGUCGCUGUCCUAACCUUUAAGGAGGGAGGCGCCAAAGGUGUGUCCGGUAAGGGGGGUG
Molecule: ribosomal RNA, 919 nt
Filed under: uncultured bacterium
Lineage: Bacteria
Description: bacterial SSU rRNA
Rfam family: Bacterial small subunit ribosomal RNA
Source: RNAcentral